AAAAAUUUGGACACCAUCUUAUGGCACGUAGAAUUAAGGAAGCACGUGAGAAAUUAAGAGUCCUUAACAAUUAAGACUCUUCCAUAAACUCAAUGCAUAUAUGAAAGGAUAUCUAAUUUAUUUGGCAUUCAAACUCCUUGCUAGAGAAGAACUCUUCCUUCUCUUCUGUGCCCAUAAUCCCAAGAGGCAUCUCAUGUCAUGAAAA
RNAcentral lists this long non-coding RNA (205 nucleotides) under Elaeis guineensis (African oil palm). RNAcentral's name for it is "long non-coding RNA (EGUI_LNC064975)". The record is from RNAcentral. Lineage: Eukaryota; Viridiplantae; Streptophyta; Magnoliopsida; Arecales; Arecaceae.